Molecule: unclassified non-coding RNA, 292 nt
Filed under: Hevea brasiliensis (rubber tree)
Lineage: Eukaryota; Viridiplantae; Streptophyta; Magnoliopsida; Malpighiales; Euphorbiaceae
Source: RNAcentral
GUCAAAUCUUCCAAAGCUAGCAAGUCCCCCUUGAUUACUUUACAGAUGAGGGUCUCCAUAAGCUUGCGAAUGUUUACAUAAUCACCAAGCUGUCCUUCUCGUAAAAUGUCUGAAGCAAUUGGACUUCCACCAUAUGGACUCUGUGCUAAAACCAGCCCUCCAACCUUAUCUUUCAGAUCAGUCCAAUACAUGGACAGAGCAGCUGCUGCAUCUACUCCCCCUUUACUGUGUCCAAGAAGCAAGACACGUUUCCUGGAACCCCAAUAAAUUUCUUCAAUGUAAUCUUUAAUUU